AGAGUUUGAUCCUGGCUCAGGAUGAACGCUAGCGGCAGGCUUAAUACAUGCAAGUCGAACGGUAACGGGUCCAGCAAUGGAUGCCGACGAGUGGCGCACGGGUGCGUAACGCGUAUGCAACCUACCUCCAACUGGGGAAUAGCCCCGAGAAAUCGGGAUUAAUACCCCAUAGUAUUUACGAAUCGCAUGGUUUGUAAAUUAAAGUUUUAACGGUCGGAGAUGGGCAUGCGUAACAUUAGCUAGUUGGUGAGGUAACGGCUCGCCAAGGCUGCGAUGUUUAGGGGUCCUGAGAGGGUUAUCCCCCACACUGGUACUGAGCCACGGACCAGACUCCUACGGGAGGCAGCAGUAGGGAAUAUUGGGCAAUGGACGAAAGUCUGACCCAGCCAUGCCGCGUGCAGGAUUGACGGCCCUAUGGGUUGUAAACUGCUUUUCUGCAGGAAGAACUCUCCCGACGUGUCGGGAGCUGACGGUACUGUAGGAAUAAGCAUCGGCUAACUCCGUGCCAGCAGCCGCGGUAAUACGGAGGAUGCAAGCGUUAUCCGGAUUUAUUGGGUUUAAAGGGUGCGCAGGCGGACUAAUAAGUCAGAGGUGAAAUCCCACAGCUUAACUGUGGAACUGCCUUUGAUGCUGUUAGUCUUGAGUGCAGUUGAGGUAGGCGGAAUGUGUCAUGUAGCGGUGAAAUGCUUAGAUAUGACACAGAACACCGAUCGUGAAGACAGCUUACCAAACUGCUACUGACGCUCAGGCACGAAAGCGUGGGGAGCGAACAGGAUUAGAUACCCUGGUAGUCCACGCUGUAAACUAUGGACACUCGCUGUUGGCGAUACACAGUCAGCGGCUGAGCGAAAGCAUUAAGUGUCCCACCUGGGGAGUACGAUCGCAAGGUUGAAACUCAAAGGAAUUGACGGGGGCCCGCACAAGCGGAGGAGCAUGUGGUUUAAUUCGAUGAUACGCGAGGAACCUUACCUAGGCUUAAAUGUUGGAUGAUCGUCCGGGAAACCGGUCUUUCCUUCGGGACAUCCAGCAAGGUGCUGCAUGGUUGUCGUCAGCUCGUGCCGUGAGGUGUCGGGUUAAGUCCCAUAACGAGCGCAACCCCUAUCCUUAGUUGCCAGCAUGUAAUGAUGGGGACUCUAGGGAAACUGCCUACGCAAGUAGUGAGGAAGGUGGGGAUGACGUCAAAUCAGCACGGCCCUUAUGCCUAGGGCUACACACGUGCUACAAUGGCCGAUACAGAGGGCAGCUACACCGCGAGGUGAUGCAAAUCUCGAAAAUCGGUCUCAGUUCGGAUCGAAGUCUGCAACUCGACUUCGUGAAGUUGGAUUCGCUAGUAAUCGCGUAUCAGCAAUGACGCGGUGAAUACGUUCCC
RNAcentral lists this ribosomal RNA (1369 nucleotides) under metagenome. Its description in RNAcentral is "bacterial SSU rRNA". It matches the Rfam family "Bacterial small subunit ribosomal RNA", at positions 8 to 1375 of the family's 1533-position model. The record is from RNAcentral.